RNAcentral lists this ribosomal RNA (429 nucleotides) under Bacillota bacterium. RNAcentral's name for it is "Firmicutes bacterium partial 16S ribosomal RNA". It matches the Rfam family "Bacterial small subunit ribosomal RNA", at positions 355 to 776 of the family's 1533-position model. Lineage: Bacteria; Bacillati; Bacillota. The record is from RNAcentral.
UGGGGAAUAUUGGGCAAUGGGCGAAAGCCUGACCCAGCCACGCCGCGUGAGUGAUGAAGGCCUUCGGGUCGUAAAGCUCUGUGGGGAGGGACGAACAAAUCUGGGGCUAAUCACCCGGAUCCUGACGGUACCUCCUUAGCAAGCACCGGCUAACCCUGUGCCAGCAGCCGCGGUAAUACAGGGGGUGCAAACGUUGCUCGGAAUCAUUGGGCGUAAAGCGCACGUAGGCGGUCUGUUAUGUCGGAUGUGAAAGCCCUUGGCUUAACUGAGGAAGUGCAUCCGAAACUGGCAGGCUAGAGUACUAAAGAGGGUCGCGGAAUUCCCGGUGUAGAGGUGAAAUUCGUAGAUAUCGGGAGGAACACCGGUGGCGAAGGCGGCGACCUGGGUAGAUACUGACGCUGAGGUGCGAAAGCGUGGGGAGCAAACAGG